UAGAGUAUAGCUUAAAUAAAGCAUUUUGUUUACACCAAAAAAAUAUUUGUUUAACCAAAUUAUUCUGA
This 68-nucleotide transfer RNA is filed under the name Desmognathus wrighti (pygmy salamander). Its description in RNAcentral is "tRNA-Val". It matches the Rfam family "tRNA". Rfam says of the family: Transfer RNA (tRNA) molecules are approximately 80 nucleotides in length. Their secondary structure includes four short double-helical elements and three loops (D, anti-codon, and T loops). Further hydrogen bonds mediate the characteristic L-shaped molecular structure. tRNAs have two regions of fundamental functional importance: the anti-codon, which is responsible for specific mRNA codon recognition, and the 3' end, to which the tRNAs corresponding amino acid is attached (by aminoacyl-tRNA synthetases). tRNAs cope with the degeneracy of the genetic code in two manners: having more than one tRNA (with a specific anti-codon) for a particular amino acid; and 'wobble' base-pairing, i.e. permitting non-standard base-pairing at the 3rd anti-codon position. The record is from RNAcentral. Lineage: Eukaryota; Metazoa; Chordata; Amphibia; Caudata; Plethodontidae.